UCACCUCUAAAAUAAAGUCAACUAGCCAUAUUUAUGUAUAUAUUCAAAACAUUUCUAAAUAAAUAGUUCUACAUAUUUCUUAUUCUAUGGUACAUUACCGAAAUGCAAAGGCGUAUAUAGUUCAGAGGUUGAAUAGAAAUUAGAUGUGAAAAAUAGAAUGUCGAUAAUGACAAUAUAUCGAAAAGAAAAGAAAAAGAAAAAUAAAGAACACACAAAUUUUUACAUGGAAA
RNAcentral lists this long non-coding RNA (230 nucleotides) under Gossypium barbadense (sea-island cotton). RNAcentral's name for it is "long non-coding RNA (GBAR_LNC019743)". Lineage: Eukaryota; Viridiplantae; Streptophyta; Magnoliopsida; Malvales; Malvaceae. The record is from RNAcentral.